AGCCGCGCAUAGCUCAUUACAACAGCCGUGUGUUUCUUGGAUCUCAUCCUUACUUGGAUAACUGUCGAAAUGCGAGAGCUAAUACAUGCAAGAAGCCCUGACCUUUUGGGAUGGGUGCACUUAUUAGAGCAAAACCAAUCAGCCUCGGCUGUCACAUUGGUGAAUCUGAAUAACUGAGCGGAUUGCACUGGUCCUAGUACCGGCAACAUAUCCUUCAAGUGUCUGCCUUAUCAACUUUCGAUGGUAGUUUAUAUGCCUACCAUGGUUGUAACGGGUAACGGAAAAUCAGGGUUUGAUUCCGGAGAGGGCGCCCGAGAAAUGGCGACCACUUCUAAGGAAGGCAGCAGGCGCGUAACUUACCCACUCUCAGAUUGAGGAGGUAGUGACGAAAAAUAUCGAGCUGGUAGUCUAUCGAUUAUCAGCAUCGGAAUGAGAACAAUAUAAAUGUGUUAUCGAGUAACUAGCAGAGGGCAAGUCUGGUGCCAGCAGCCGCGGUAAUUCCAGCUCUGCAAGUGUAUAUCAAUGUUGCUGCGGUUAAAAAGCUCGUAGUUGGAUCUGUGUGACCAGGGUCUGGUCCAGCCAUGUGCUGCGUACUGGUACCCGUCACUUACCACUGCUGGUCUUGUCCCAAUGCCCUUCACUGGGUGUUGGCGACUGGCUAGCGAGUUUACUUUGAAAAAAUUAGAGUGCUCAACACAGGCGCAAUGCCUGAAUACUUCUGCAUGGAAUAAUGGAAGAGGACCUCGGUUCUGUUUUGUUGGUUUUAAGAGCAUGAGGUAAUGAUUAAGAGGAACAGACGGGGGCAUUCGUAUUCCGGCGUUAGAGGUGAAAUUCUUGGAUCGUCGGAAGACGACAACUGCGAAGGCAUUUGCCAAGAAUGUUUUCAUUAAUCAAGAACGAAAGUUAGAGGUUCGAAGGCGAUCAGAUACCGCCCUAGUUCUAACCGUAAACGAUGCAAACUAGCGAUCAGGUGACGUUUCACAUGACCCACCUGGGAGCUUACCGGAAACGAAAGUUUUCGUGUUCCGGGGGGAAUAUGUCUGCAAAGAUGAAACUUAAAGGAAUUGACGGAAGGGCACCACCAGGAGUGGAGCCUGCGGCUUAAUUUGACUCAACACGGGAAAACUCACCCGGCCCGGACACCGUAAGGAUUGACAGAUUGAGAGCUCUUUCUUGAUUCGGUGGGUGGUGGUGCAUGGCCGUUCUUAGUUGGUGGAGCGAUCUGUCUGGUUUAUUCCGAUAACGAACGAGACUGUGACCUACUAAAUAGUGGACACAUCAUCUAUGUGUGCCUCACUUCUUAGAGGGAUAAGCGUUAUUGAAGACGCAUGAAAUACAGCAAUAACAGGUCUGUGAUGCCCUUAGAUGUCCGGGGCUGCACGCGCGCUACACUGAGACAAUCAACGUGCAUCCUACCUUGCUUGAAAGAGCUGGGUAACCCGUUGAAAAUGUCUCGUGAUUGGGAUAGCACAUUGCAAUUAUUGUGCUUGAACGA
Molecule: ribosomal RNA, 1495 nt
Filed under: Sphaerolaimus sp. M1
Lineage: Eukaryota; Metazoa; Nematoda; Chromadorea; Monhysterida; Sphaerolaimidae
Description: SSU rRNA
Rfam family: Eukaryotic small subunit ribosomal RNA
Source: RNAcentral